This 468-nucleotide ribosomal RNA is filed under the name uncultured bacterium. RNAcentral's name for it is "partial 16S ribosomal RNA". It matches the Rfam family "Bacterial small subunit ribosomal RNA", at positions 28 to 507 of the family's 1533-position model. The record is from RNAcentral.
GACGAACGCUGGCGGCGUGCUUAACACAUGCAAGUCGAACGGAAAGGCCCUGCUUUUGUGGGGUGCUCGAGUGGCGAACGGGUGAGUAACACGUGAGUAACCUGCCCUUGACUUUGGGAUAACUUCAGGAAACUGGGGCUAAUACCGGAUAGGAGCUCCUGCUGCAUGGUGGGGGUUGGAAAGUUUCGGCGGUUGGGGAUGGACUCGCGGCUUAUCAGCUUGUUGGUGGGGUAGUGGCUUACCAAGGCUUUGACGGGUAGCCGGCCUGAGAGGGUGACCGGCCACAUUGGGACUGAACUGAGGCCCAGCCUCCUACGGGAGGCGGCAGUGGGGAAUAUUGCACAGUGGGCGGAAGCCUGAUGCAGCAACGCCGCGUGCGGGAUGACGGCCUGCGGGUUGUAAUCCGCUUUCGCCUGUGACGAAGAGUGAGUGACGGUAAUGGGUAAAGAAGCACCGGCUAACUACGUG